RNAcentral lists this ribosomal RNA (306 nucleotides) under uncultured bacterium. Its description in RNAcentral is "bacterial SSU rRNA". It matches the Rfam family "Bacterial small subunit ribosomal RNA", at positions 28 to 334 of the family's 1533-position model. The record is from RNAcentral.
GAUGAACGCUGGCGGCGUGCUUAACACAUGCAAGUCGAACGAUGACCCCGUGCUUGCACGGGUGAUUAGUGGCGAACGGGUGAGUAACACGUGAGUAACCUGCCCCUGACUCUGGGAUAAGCCCGGGAAACUGGGUCUAAUACUGGAUAUGACCUUUAACCGCAUGGUUUUUGGUGGAAAGAUUUAUCGGUUGGGGAUGGACUCGCGGCCUAUCAGCUUGUUGGUGAGGUAAUGGCUCACCAAGGCGACGACGGGUAGCCGGCCUGAGAGGGUGACCGGCCACACUGGGACUGAGACACGGCCCAG